This is an RNA transcript of Malania oleifera, 3113 nucleotides long. It is a transcript of the gene named probable arabinosyltransferase ARAD1, with no coding region annotated. The record is from RefSeq and is a predicted model, not a curated record. Lineage: Eukaryota; Viridiplantae; Streptophyta; Magnoliopsida; Santalales; Ximeniaceae. The transcript has 7 exons.
CCUAACAUACAAAGCCAAGCAACUAAAACUAUUAAGGUUUUCGCAGGCGGUGUCUUUUCCAGGAAGAAGGAUCGGUGGCCAUAUCUUUUCCUCCUCCUCCCCCUCUUCAGGUUCAUCGUCUUCCCGAACUCUCCGAGAAAUUUGCAUAGUUUCUCACAUUCAUCUCAUCAGCAAUGUCAUAUCAGCCCCUAAUAAUCUCAACUACUUUCUUCCUAAAAUGAGAAUGGAACGUUCUUUAGCAGUCUGAUCCAUCCAUUUUAGCCGUUCACCCGUCGGCUUCUAUAAUUGCUGGUACGCUGAGUUUGCCGGCGGGUAGAGAAUCUGAGCUCGUCAUUGCGGGAGAAACUCAUGAUUACUGCUCAUUCACCAAAUGAUCGAUGUUUAAUUUGGUUCUUUUCAGGAAGAUCUCCUUUGCCAUAUAUCAUCUUAACUCAUUAAGUGGCCUAUGUUCUGUUCUACCCAGGCGCACAUACUAAGCAGAGGUAAGGUUGUUGAAGGAACAAAUGGCUCUGAAGAAUACCUCCACUACCACAUCGCAAUGCUCCAUUUCUUCUCUCUUUCUUCUAUUCACUCUCAUCUGCAUUCUUUCACUCUCUCUCCUCCUCAUCUUUAACGCAACCCAACAACCCUCGUCAUCCGCUUCUUCAGUUUCCAAGAACAGUCCUCAAUUUCUCAGCCAUCACAUCAAAGUCUACGUAGCAGACCUCCCCAGAUCGCUUAACUAUGGCUUGCUCGACAAGUAUUGGUCUUUAAAUGGAGAUUUGAGGCUGGGAAGCGAUGAAGACCAGGAAAUUCGAUCGACCCUUUUGUCUAAAAAGCUCCAAUUCCCACCAUAUCCUGAGAAUCCUUUGAUCAAGCAAUACAGUGCCGAAUACUGGAUCAUGGGUGACCUUAUGACUCCUGAGAAAUUACGAACUGGAUCGUUUGCCAGGCGAGUUUUUGAUGUCAAUGAAGCUGAUGCUGUUUUUGUGCCGUUCUUUGCUACACUUAGUGCUGAAAUGCAGUUGGGUGUGGCUAAAGGGGUGUUCAGGAAGAAAGUGGGCAAUGAGGACUAUGAGAGGCAGAGGGAGGUCGUGGAUUUUGUGAAGGGGACUGAGGCUUGGAAGCGGUCAGGUGGGCGGAAUCAUGUCUUUGUUGUCACAGACCCAGUUGCAAUGUGGCAUUUCAGGGCUGAGAUAUCCUCAGCCAUUCUCCUGGUAGUUGAUUUCGGUGGGUGGUAUCGGCUCGACACAAAAGCUUCAAAGAGUAGCACAUCAGAUGUGAUACAGCACACCCAAGUUUCAUUACUUAAAGAUGUAAUUGUGCCGUAUACCCAUCUUCUCCCUCAGUUGCAGUUAUCAGAAAACAAAAAACGGCAGAAUCUUCUUUACUUCAAAGGGGCUAAACACAGGCACCGGGGAGGCCUAGUUCGUGAAAAGUUAUGGAACUUGUUGGUCAAUGAACCAGGAGUUACCAUGGAGGAAGGCUUCCCUAAUGCUACUGGACGAGAGCAAUCAAUAAAAGGGAUGAGAACAUCUGAGUUCUGCUUGCACCCAGCUGGUGAUACCCCCACUUCAUGCCGUCUUUUUGAUGCCAUUCAAAGUCUCUGUAUACCUGUUAUUGUUAGCGACAACAUUGAGCUUCCAUUUGAAGGAAUGGUGGAUUAUUCCGGAUUUUCAGUUUUUAUAGCAGUUAGUGAAGCAUUACAGCCAAACAAACUUGUAACUCUUCUUAGAAGCUUUUCUAAAGAGCAGAGGGAUGGAUUCCGCCGAAAUAUGGCAGAAGUUCAGGCCAUUUUUGAGUAUGAUUAUGGUCAUCUAGGUGGCAUUGGGCCCAUUGCUCCAGAUGGGGCUGUGAAUCACAUAUGGAAAAAGGUUCACCAAAAAUUGCCCAUGAUUAAUGAAGCUAUUGUUCGAGAGAGGAGAAAACCACUGGGUGCAUCAGUGCCAUUUCGUUGCCAUUGCGUGUGAAAUUAUAAGUAUUGUGCGGAUUAUGUUUGGAGUGUAAUGCACGUAUUUUUUGAGGGAGAAAAUUGAAAUGGCAGCUGGUUUGGCAGAAGAUUCAUUAGCUGGCCUCUUCAUGGUGGAAGGUCUGAUCAGUUGAACUUGGUAGAGGAAGGCAGUUCAACAUUGUUUCGUCAUCUGUACAAUCUAGUCAUAUUUUCUGGCUUACCAUGCCUUCAAAAAUCUUCGAAGAAAGUUAUAUGGUGAGCUUUUCUCUCUCUCUCUCUCUCUCUCUCUCUCUCUCUCUUUCCCCCCUUCAAAGCAGUCCCUGUUCCAUACUUUGGCUUCUGUGGAACGGAACAAGAUAGUCAGCUACAAUUGAUGCUCCAGUUUUAACGUCUCCAGUGACAGUUGAUCAUUGUGAUGUGGGAACAAAGAGUAAUUGUCAUGAAGAGAAGUCAGAUGAUAGUGAGUUCCUGUCAGCAGUGAAGUUCCUGUGGACAUAAGAAACACUGGUCUGCAUAAUGAAGACCAAAUGCAAAAUGAGGAUGACAUUGGCAGUGUGUUGGGUUCCCAGGGUAUCUUGGUUCUGACAUGUAGCCAGAAUGCUUCAAGGGGCAGAAAUAGAAUUUGAUAUGAUUGUUAUUUGGAGAUUAUCUUCUUCUUCGUCUUCUUCUUGUUGCUGUGUAAAAUGUAAACCAUGCUUCUUGUUGUUGUGACCCAAGAAUGGAAUUUCAAAAUCUACUAAAAGAGUUCUGAUAUCUUCUGCUGCCGGAGCUAUUUGGAAAAUUCUUGGAGCUGGGCGUCAAACUUGGUUCUUCAUUUACAGCAAUUGUGCAUGAAUUAAGGAUAUUUCUGUUCAUGGAGAUGGAAACCUCUCUGCCAUAGUAAUCUCGAUUUGCUGGUUAGUCUGAACUGGUGAUUCAGAAAAUCUCUGAUACUGAAUAUAAGGCACAGAGAUCAGGGUUUGAGGUUAGUGUUGUUCUUAGGGUGUCUUGGGUACACAAACUGUCAUCUUCUACCAGAUGCCAAUGUCUUCCUUUUUUUCAAUUUUUUUUUCAUGUUACAAAAUCUAAGUUCCUUAUUACACACUAAUUUUCAGUUAAAAUGGUUGGAUAAACAUCAAUUACACAUUUGGUAUGUAGGAACGGAAUGAAAUUAAGGGGAAUGAAAUUGAAUUUAUUACUUGAU